UACGUAGGGUCCGAGCGUUGUCCGGAAUUAUUGGGCGUAAAGGGCUCGUAGGCGGUUUGUCGCGUCGGGAGUGAAAUCUUACAGCUUAACUGUGAACUUGCUUCCGAUACGGGCAGACUUGAGGCAUUCAGGGGAGAACGGAAUUCCUGGUGUAGCGGUGAAAUGCGCAGAUAUCAGGAGGAACACCGGUGGCGAAGGCGGUUCUCUGGGAAUGUACUGACGCUGAGGAGCGAAAGUGUGGGGAGCGAACAGGAUUAGAUACCCCCGUAGUCC
This 273-nucleotide ribosomal RNA is filed under the name uncultured bacterium. RNAcentral describes it as "partial 16S ribosomal RNA". It matches the Rfam family "Bacterial small subunit ribosomal RNA", at positions 524 to 796 of the family's 1533-position model. The record is from RNAcentral.